Drosophila melanogaster (fruit fly) is the source of this 106-nucleotide non-coding RNA. The record is from Ensembl. NCBI's taxonomy places the organism in Eukaryota, Metazoa, Arthropoda, Insecta, Diptera, Drosophilidae.
GUCGUAGAUGUGGGCGUAGGUGGCGGCGGGCGUGGCGUGCGUGAUCCUGGUUGUGGUGACCACGCCGGUGCGCUUGCCCUCCUUCUGGGCCCACUCCAUGACGCUC